GACGAACGCUGGCGGCGUGCUUAACACAUGCGAGUCGAACGGAAAGGCCCUGCUUUUGUUGGUUGCUCGAGUGGCGAACGGGUGAGUAACACGUGAGUAACCUGCCCUUUACUUUGGGAUAACUUCAGGAAACUGGGGCUAAUACCGGAUAGAAGCUCCUGCUGCAUGGUGGUGGUUGGAAAGUUUCGGCGGUUGGGGAUGUACUCGCGGGUUACCAGCCUUUUGGUCGGGUAGUGGCUUACCAAGGCUUUGACGGGUAGCCGGCCUGGGAGGGUGAACAGGCACAUUGGUACUGAGGGAGGGCCAAGACUGCUACGGGAGGCAGCAGUGGGGAGUCUUGCACAAUGGGCGGAAGCGUGAUGCAGAAACGCCGCGUUCGGGAUGACCGCUUUCGGGUGGAAAACAGCUUUCGAAGGUGACGUAGCGUGAGUGACGGUAAUGGGUAAAGAAGCAACGGCUAACUACGUG
This 468-nucleotide ribosomal RNA is filed under the name uncultured bacterium. Its description in RNAcentral is "partial 16S ribosomal RNA". It matches the Rfam family "Bacterial small subunit ribosomal RNA", at positions 28 to 507 of the family's 1533-position model. The record is from RNAcentral.